UCACCGCCGCGUGACUGACGCUUGAAGAUGGGCCACCAUCGGGAAGCGCGAGCGGACCUCGCCGCGCGUCUGGGCAUCGCUC
Regulatory RNA element from Sphingomonas koreensis, 82 nucleotides. It matches the Rfam family "ZMP/ZTP riboswitch aptamer (pfl RNA motif)". Rfam says of the family: Previously known as pfl RNA. ZMP is also known as AICAR. The record is from Rfam. Lineage: Bacteria; Pseudomonadati; Pseudomonadota; Alphaproteobacteria; Sphingomonadales; Sphingomonadaceae.